RNAcentral lists this long non-coding RNA (1639 nucleotides) under Marmota monax (woodchuck). The stretch from base 634 to 703 matches the Rfam family "tRNA". Lineage: Eukaryota; Metazoa; Chordata; Mammalia; Rodentia; Sciuridae. The record is from RNAcentral.
AUUUUCUUUUGGUUUCUAUUGCUUUUUAUUUAUAGAUGUAUAACCACCUCUCCAUUUUCAUCAGUUGUUUGAUUUAUUUUUAAAUUUCUAUUUUGUUUUGACACAACAGAUUCCUUUAAAUAUCUAUCAUAAAACAAUUCUGUUAAGGAGCCUUUUAUCUCUAGGUGGUACCAGCCAUGAUUAAAGUGAAAGGAACAUCUUGAUAUAUUUGAUGAAAAUUACUAAACCAGCGGUUUUUUUCUUUUUUUGGGGGGUGAGUACUGGGAAUUGAACUUAGGCAUUUGACCAUAUCCCCAGCCCUGUUUUGUAUUUUAUUUAGAGACAUGGUCUCAACUGAGUUGCUUAGCACCUUGCUUUUGUGGAGGCUGGCUUUGAACUCUCCAUCCUCCUGCCUCAGUCUCUCGAGUCGCUGAGAUUACAGGUGUGUGCCACCAUGCCUAGCUCUAAACUAGUCUUUUAAACUUGUUUAGCACCCUUAACUAUUGGAGUGUCUAUAAUCUGAUCACUGAACUUAAAUUAAGGUUUACAAGUAUAUAUUACCAUGGUUUCAAUUGUUUUUGUGUAGAUCCUUUCUUUUUAUUUCCUCUCAGAAUUACCAGAGUUCAAUAAUCAGUAGACUCUCUUUGGGGCUAGGGGAGUAGAUCAGAGGUAGAGCUCAUACUUAGCAUGCAUGAGGCCCUGGAUUCAAAUUCCAGCACCAACAAAUAAACAAAUGAGUUAAAUAGUAUACCUUUCUUUUUUUAAGGUCUUUCUUAAAAAAUAUUUUUAGUUGUAAAGGGACACAAUACCUUUAUUUUAUUUACUUACUUUUUAUUUAGUACUGAGGUUCGAACCCAGUGCCUCACACAUGCUGGGCAAGUACACUACCACUGAGCUAUAAGUAUAAUUCCAGCCCUAUUUUAGUAAUCUUAAAUGACCCAAAUUGUCUGUUUGACAAUUGACAAAGUUAUGCAAUCAUAUGAGAUCAUGAGUCACUGGUUUUUAGAUUUUUUUAGAAGAAAAUUUAACCAUUAUGUUUAGAUAAGUUUAUGUCACCAUUAUUCAUUAGAUUUUAAAUUGACAUGUUUCCCAGAACUUGGGUGCUUUUCAAAGUUUCACAUGAUCACCAGUAGUAAUAACUUUCUCAUUGGAUAUGUUAAGCUAUGUUUUCUGUAACUAUUUCUUUAUGAGUGUUUUAUACAUGUUUUUGUACAUGUAGUUGGUGGCUAGUUUAUGUCCUACACAGUAAAAAAAUGAGUCUGUGAUGUUAACUUUGGUAUUAGGGUAAUUUUCUACUUUGUAUCUUUGAAAAGAGUGAACACUAUUUAUUGAAUUACUGUGUGACCACCACUACUGAUUUACUCUUGGAUUUUAUUCUUCGUGGUCAUUCUGAGUUAAUAUCCAGGCUGCUUAAUUUUCUUGGGCAUAGUACUCUAGGACUACUUGUCAUGUAUUCCUUUGUGUAUGUGUUUUUCCUUUCCAAUUUAAGGAAAUGAAAGCAAUGAGCUAUAUAAACUGUAUAUAGACAUAAAAUUGAUGGUAGAAACAAAAUAGCCAUUAAAUUUCUUGGCAUUUAAUUUUUGAAGUCCCUCUUGAAUAAAUGACAAAUUAAUGAGUGAAAUGUAUCCUUGUUGUGUUUCCCUUAUUUUUUAAUUAUAGC